Mustela lutreola (European mink) is the source of this 11959-nucleotide long non-coding RNA. RefSeq lists it as uncharacterized. The transcript has 3 exons. The record is from RefSeq and is a predicted model, not a curated record. NCBI's taxonomy places the organism in Eukaryota, Metazoa, Chordata, Mammalia, Carnivora, Mustelidae.
UGGUGGUGGUGGGGGUUCUACCCAGCAGGGUUUCCCGGAGCCCCUACUGUGUGCCAGACGCUGCAGAGCCAGGGAAGCAGAGCGCGCGGCGGGCAGGACCACAAGCAGCAAGCUUCCCGAGUGGAGCCGAGUCCGGGCCUUGGGUUCCGUGAGACGCAGAGACACGUGUGUGAUGGUAAUGGCAAUCAGUAGCAGCAGUGACAGUGGCCACACAUUCAAUGCUGGCAAGACGUUAUCUUCCCGACCCUGUGAGUGAGGGAAGUCGGCACUUGUCUCUCCUGCUGGGUCCCUUGGUGACCUUGCAGGGACUCUACAAGGUUGGUCCCCUUGCAUGGGGCUGGACCCUAGUUGGGUCCAGUGCAGCGACCCAGCCACACCCAGGGCCGGGAGGGAACUGUGCCCCUUGAGAUAGAUGGCUGUCACCUCUGUCCCCUCUGGGUCCGGGGCUGGGAUGCAGGGAGCAGUCUCGCUGACACGCUGGCUCUGGGCCCCAGGGGGCAUGACGGAAUCGCGCGUGAUUCUGGCUGCAGUGGCCCCAGGGCCGGAAUCCGGCGGAACACGGUGUCAGCAGAAGCUGCCAGCCAUGCAGCUCCGAGGCCCUGGCUGCGGGGAGGGCUGGGAGCAGGUCCAGGCUCCGCACCCCCGCCUUCCAGGGAGGGUCUGGGCACCCGCCCACCGGGCUGAGAGCCCUGCAGGCCUAGGGGCCUUUCUGCUCUGGAGAGAGAGACAAGGACAUCGGACACCUGCCUCCCAGAUUUCUCCCCUUCAGAAGGGCUGCUCCGCUCUGCCCCGUGUGCCCCUCCCAGCCACCCAUCCGAAAGCUGUAGUAAGCACUGUGCCACUCCUCUGAGACCGAUGGGGAGACCAAGGCUGCAGCCGCUCUCUGUGAGCAGGUGGUGGGGUUCGGCUACCGGCGAUCUGGAGUCACAUCUUGUAGGCACCUCGCUCCCUGUGUGGUCCUCAGCACGUCACUCUGCCUCUCUGAGCCUCACGCCCCUCACCCAUAUACCAGGACAAUCUCAGGACCUCCCUCCUGGGGAUGUCACCGGGCAGAGUCCCUCGUGGAGGGCCUAGCGAGCUGGCAAGACUCCGGAAGUGGUGACCAGUCAGUGGGAGCAGAGGAAGGAUGGGAGGGAGGAAUCUAAGGCCCCACUCACAGCCUCCAGGUCCCCUGGAAUGAACAUGCUGUGUGCCCUCGCCUGGACCUGUGAGCCUCAACUGGGGCUAUGCAUAGCCCAUAGCAGAAGCCCCUGGUUAAUCUCCCAUGAGCCUUGGCGCCACUGCAGAGAAUCCAGACCCCGUUCAAAAUGACCAUCACCACCCACUGUGGCCUCCGUUGUCUAAGAGGAGGCAGUGUGGGGGAUGGGAAACCCGGAAGCAGAGCCCAGAGCACCUGGGACCCCAGCUCCCAUCAUUCCUUCUCUGGGCUCCCCGCGUUCAUCUGAGAGGCAAAUCUCAAGAGUGUCCCUUCAGAAUCCUAGAACUGGGAGGAAGCACAGAGAUUCUUGAGCACAAAAGCCCUCACUUUGUCAAAGACUCUGAGGCCUGGGAGGGAAAGGGACUCACCCUUGAACUUGGGGCACUGUUCAGACACUGAGGCAGGAUGCUGGUGUCCUGGGACCUCUCCGCUUCAUCAGCCAAGGCUGUCCCUCUGGCUGCAGGUGUUUACCUAGGACCGGCAUGGCUGGGUCCGGUCCUAACCCUGUUCAGCCAUCCAGGGACCCGACAGGCUGUUUCCAGCACAGAGUCUUCGCCUCCCACCAGCCGCGCGGGGGGAUUCUUACGUGUGACUUGCUUUUCAACGGGGAGCAGGGUGGGUGGGCACGUUUCUAUAUCUGGACACAUUCAGUAAAUAUUAAAGUUCUUUUCCACUCUUGAGCCCCUGUAUCAAAAUAGGAUUUUAACACACACACACACACACCGGUUUUUUUGUUGUUUUUUUGUUUUCAAUUUGGAAGGGACGGAUCCCGGCUCCAGCACUUACUGUGUGGUCUUGAGCAAGUAUCUUUCCUUCUCGGUGCCUUAGUUUCUUCAUCUGUAAAACACUUGUGAUCGGAUCAGCCUCCAAGAUGGGUUGGGGGGGGUUCGUGCGUGUGAAGCAUUUGGCAUAGUCCCUGGCAGGAAGGGCUGUUAAGUUUACAUUACGACUGUGUGACUGUUGGAGAGCUUGUGGACGUCCAGAGGAGGAACAAAGGAGACGUUUUUGCCCAGCGUCAGCUCAGAGACAGCUCCUGUCCCCACCGUCAUAGUUUCCCCCCACGCAUGGUCCGCGCCUUCUUUCUCCCAAGUCCAGGCGAAGCUCUCCAUACAGCUGUUCGUCUUGCUCUUGCUUCACGUCCCAGCAUUAACAUUUCCCAAAGUUGUUACAAGCACCGUUUUAAUAUCUUCCCAGGGUAAAGGGCCUUGCCUCCCCCCGUGGCCCCCGCGCCACUGGGCGCCGAGGAGACCUUGCAGCAGAACAGAGCUGUGGGUCCUGCCCUAGAACUACAGACACGUGUUAGCCAGAGAAGAUCCCCUCGAGCUCUCGACGGGCUCCCGGCGUGGGUAUGAUAGGGUGGCCUGGAAGGCCUGAGCCCCCGAAGUUUCCAGAGUGUGUGUGGGUGUUGGGGGGAACAUGCCUGGGGAGAGGGGGGAGGCGGCACCAAGGGUAUCAGGGCGGCUUACCUGACGGUCCUUAGUCUUUGCUUGAAGUCUAACUUGUUCUGUGCUGGAAACUCAGAAGAUAGAGCCAGAAAGGAAGUGAGAAAAGUCUCCCGCCGUUGCGAAAGCCGGAGCUUCCAGCCGUGGUCUCUGUGCACGGGCGUGUGCGUGCACACACUACUGUGGGUGCGGCCACACCAUGUACCGUUUCCAUGUGGGGUGUUGUGCCUGUCUCCUAGUGGGACUAAGACUGGGGACGGUGGAGCAAGAUGCUUGGGUUCAAAUCUGGGCUGUACCCCUCCCUAGCUGUGUGUUCCUGAGCUCGUCACAUCACCUCUCUGUGCUGUAAUUUCCCGAUCUGGAAAGUGGGCUAGUAACGGCGUUCAUAGGGAAGCGUGGGCAGGUCAGAGCACCAGCCGUUUGACCCAGACUCCUCCUGCACUCUCCAUCCUUGGAGAAAAAGGAGUUUUAUUGGCUACAUAGCGACCCCUGGUCACCUGCUGCCUCACACCAAGGUUGUUUCUGGAUUUUCUCAGGUAGGGACAGCUCUGCACUAAGCCUUCUUGAACCUCAUUUGCCUCUGGGAAGCCUCCACCCUGGGCCUGUCCCCCGCCCCGGCUCCCACGCUUUGCUUCCUACCGAGUGACCUCCUGGACUGCUCUGGCCUUGCCUCGUGAGGCUGCAGAGAGCCCGGGGGCGGGGGGGGGGGGCAGUGGAUCUUCGAGCCUCCCUGCUCCCCGUGCAGUAAGUGGUCCAAGGGGUGUGAGACCAGGAGGGAGAAACUGUCUUUGGCAGUCUCUGAGCGGCUUGCCUGGACCGGCCGUCUGUCGCAAAGGACGGGGACAGGAGGCGGCAGGCAGGGGUGGGAGCAGCCCAGCUCGCACCUGGGCUGGGGCUGGAAGCCACCUCCGCCCUUCUGGGAAGGAGGUGGGACCUGAAUAAAUGCUUUCCCAAACGAGAGUGCUUCUGCCUGCCUGCUGCCUGCUCGCCACCCAGCUCCAGCUGCUGUGGGGCCACGGGAGCCCCCCAGGGAUGGUGUCCCCAGCAAACCAGCCUCAAGGAGUGCAUUUCUCCGGGCUCUCAAGGCUUUAUCCAAAGAAUGGGGAAAACUCUUGAGCACCCACGACAUGCUCUGUGUUCUCUUCCGCCCACUCCAUUCUUCAAGGUUUGUUUGCUGAACACCCACUGGGCAGGGAGGCAGCCCAGAGGGAGUGAUAAACGCACCCCCUUGUUGAGUAUCUGUGCUGGCCCCAUGCUGUAGGUGUGAGUCUGUUUCCUUUAAAAAAAAAAACCUCAUUUUGAGGUCGUCAUAGAUUUACGUACAGCUGUGAGAAAGAGCAGACAGAGAGCUUGUACAGCCUUUGCCUCCUUAGCCCGGUGGUGACAUCUUGCGUAACCAUAGGACAGUGUCCCCAGCAGCAUACUGACCUUGACACAAUCCCCGGUGUUAUACGUACUUGUAUGUGUGUGCCUGUGUGUAUCUGUGUGUGUGUGUGCCUGUGUGUGUCUCUGUGUAAGUAUGUCUCUGAGUGUGUGUGUCUGGGUAUCUUUGUGUGUCUCUGUGUGUGCUCUCUCUGUGAGUGUUUGUGUCUGUGUGGCCUGUUUCAUUUUACAGGGAGGAAGUGAGGCUCAGGGUCAAGGCCUUGGCCAGGACCAGCCCGCCAGGGCGCAGCAGAGCUGGGCUUCAUGUCCAGGCAUUCUGACCCCACAUCCCUGAAUUACUCUGGGGAAAAAAAAGUCACAUUUACUCUUCGAUGCUGUUCUUAGACUUGUAAUCCCUCUGGUCUCUGCGGCAGCUGUGAGCUGAAAACCCGGACCGGCUAGAACCGGAACAUGUUGGUGCUGGGCUGUGGGCUUCUGUUUCACAGACCAGAACACUGAGGCUCAGAAGUGAACAGUUUGCCUAACGUCCCCCAACUAGCUGGUCUGGGGCUGGUCUGAGUCUCUCCCCUCAUGGUCUACAUGUGACAGGGACCACAAUGAACUUCUUCUUCCAAGAGGUGAAAGGACAGAAGACACUUUUGAUUACAAGUACCAGGCUCAGGAUUACGAGGAUUACGAGGAAGAUAGCAGGGGGCAUUUGGGAACAUUUCUGGGUAGGAGGUGACCUCGGACACUUAGCAUGCCCCAAAUGUGUGCCAAGGAACACUAAUGACUCAGGUUUUGAGGUGACUCUUCUUUCCUUGCUUACAUAUGUUUGGGAACUGUGGGUUAAAGAAAUCAAUACAGGGUUGGGUGCUGCAGGACUUAUCAGUGCCUUUAAAUAUUUUUUUUAAAGAUUUUAUUUAUUUAUUUGAGAGAGAGAGCACGUGAGCAUGAGAGGAGAGAGAUCAGUGGGAGAAGCAGACUCCCUGCCGAGCAGGGAGUCCGAUGUGGGACUCGAUCCCAGGACUCCAGGAUCAUGACCUGAGCCAAAGGCAAUCGCUUAACCAACUGAGCCACCUAGGCGCCCCUUAUCAGUGCCUUUAAUGCUCUGACGUACACUAAUGGCCUUCUAAAGAGAGGACAGAUUGCCAUUCUGCACAGUAUAUUUCAGGAACUGCUUGGUAAGACGCACUGUGGUGUGAGAGUCUGAGGGCUGAGGACAUCGAUUGCUCUGAUGUGUCUGGCCGUAGGGCCAGCAGCCCUCCGAUGAAUGUGGAGGCUCUUGCCCAGCAUGGGAAAGGCUGCGGAGUGACAUGACAUGUGGGAAGUGGGAUGCAGAUCUGUCUACCCGCCGUGAUCACAGCCAUGUGCCUCUGCGUGUGUGCCUUGUGGACAAGGAGGGGAAGUCAGCUGUCUUAGGUUGACAACAUUUCAGGUGAUUUAUUAUUUUUAAUAUAAGAUUUUUCUUUCUGAAACCAACAAAGGAGGUUGGGCUCCAUUCACUGGGGCAAUAAAAAGCCAUUGUGUAUUUGAAGCAAGGGCUGAAGGCAACCUAACAAAAGCGGUUUUAAGAGCAUUUUUCUGUGUGGCGUUGGGGAGGCCAAGCUGCAAGGAGGAGGGGGCCCGGCAGAGAGCACUGGGAGCCGGCGGCGGUGGCCCUGGCCUCGGCCCGAGUGGUGGCUGAGAAGGGAGAGCUGGGCGUGACGACCUCACAGCUCUGUGCUUUCCUGGGGACCAGAGAGGUUAUGUCACUUGCCUUGAGUCACACAGUGGACAGUCUGCAGACCUGGGACCUGGCUGUAGCUCCGAGUUCAGAGUCUUGGAACGUUGCGCUGUGGCACGUAUCUGUCUUCGUCUGCAUCACAGUUUUGCCAGCUUUCUGGGUAUGUACUGCUUAUCUAUGCUCUAAGGAAGUAAGACUCAUGUGUGUGUGUGGGGGGGGGUGUGCAUGUGUGUAUGAGUAUGUGCAUGUGAGAAGGGGAGCAGAGAAUCCGGACGUCUGCUGCAGCGUGACCCCACGACUGUCUCCCCGACAGAGAACAUUCAGGAAGCCCCAGGCCCCUGCAGCACCCCGACCACCGCGGGAAGGACGCAGACAAUGAGAGCCUCUGCCCUGUUUUAAUAAGCGUGAGCAGCUGCUUUUCAGUCACUUCUGGUCUGUAGGUCCUCGUUGGAUGCUUUUGGGGCCAGGAGCGCUUCUGGAUUUUUCAGCCCCAUAGACAGGGGCUUCCGUGCAGAGGCUGUAUUUUCUGGAACACCCAGUGGGGCCCCCUCUCAUCAGCCGCCGUGGUGCUUGUGUACGGAACAUGUGAACGUUCACACCGGGCGGGGACGGAGCUGAGGUAGAGCAGCUGGCAGGCUAGGCGGGCCUCACUGCAGAAGGAGUGGGGGAGACUCCAGGUCUCCAGGACUUCUGGCCUUGAGGCCUGGGGAAGGGCUGGGCGUCUGUGUUGACGCACAGGCAUUGCGGCGUCCUGAGUAGGGGCGACUCUCAGUUUCGGUGACCAGGAGAGAAUGUCCCUGUCUUGGAUUUUUCCACGAUUGAGAAGCCUGGGGAGGGUGCAGGUCGGACUGUACACUUGGGUGGAAGGCGGGGUCAGGUAGCCCAGAGCAAGGGAAGCGCUGGACGUUACCCCCAGACCCCCGCCCUGGGGGACUGCAGUGCCUGUGUGUGCCAGGGGGCACUGGGGUGUCUUGGUUGGCUCCGCCCUGUCCCCCCCCACCCAAGCUGCUGGAAGCUAGGCCUGCCCGGACCUUGAGCAGCCACAUCAGCUCUCCUAGCAGUGGGUCACCGUCCUGCACAAAUGCUCCCCAGUGGCCCUGGGAGGGAGUCCUGGAGGCCGCAUGUGCGUGUUUAGACGGGGUGGGACCUGCUGGAAUUUGCAUUCCCUCAUUCAGAAGCUAAAUUGAUCUUUUAUUAAGAUCAGCAAGAUCCAUUUUUAACUGAAUUUGAAGGUCACUCUGUGCUGCUGUUCCUUCCCAGAACGCUGAGGGCGACUAUGUAUCCACAGCGCUUGAGGACCGGCCAUCAGCCUUAUAGUGGGCCACCCUGUGUCAGGGGUCCCAGGACCCCAGUACAGGACCCUGGGCCAGCAGCUUCCUUCCUGUGGGGUCAGGUGAGGGACCAGAUAUGAUUUGUUCAUUGGUCUACCAUCUACCGGCCACCUCCCAUGUGCCAGACACGGGGGAGGACCAGUCCUGGUUCCCAAAGAGUACGGAGCCCGGUGGGAAAGCUGAACGGAUGGACAGAGGAUUCCAGGACAGGGGGAUGAGGGCUGGGCUGGGGUCAGCAUUCUGGGGAAGGAUUGUAGGAACACACUGAGGCCCCCCGUUCACUUGCGGAGGGGCAGGCCAGGCUUUGUAGCUUUCAAAAACCACAUCCAUAUCCUAGUUUAGGGCCGAAAACCCCAGAGAAGCCAGCACGUCAGACUGUGGUUCUAGAAGAUGAGACCUACGGGAGCUAGCUGUGUUCUUUCCAGCUGCCGGUGGUCGUGAGAGCGCCAGCCCCUUGGCCGGGCUAAAGUAAACACCUCUGUAUGCCGGGUUGUUUGGCACUUUUCUCUCUGGAUCAAGGCCACAUGUCACACCAGUCAGGAACCUGGUCCCAGUGUCCCUGUUUCGUGUCCUCUCGGAGCGAGCCCCUUAAUCGAGUGCCUCCAUCUCCUGGUUGGACAGCGGGAAAAUUCUCAGGGCCCCUACCCCGUUCCGGCUGAGAGGCCAAGGCCCACAGGACGGCGGUGUGUGCGCUCUGCGGCCAUGUAAGCCAAGUCGGUCUGAGCAGAGCACAAGGCAGGCAUGAUUGUCUUCAAGUGUGUCUCUACUGUGCCUUUGACGUGUGGUGAGCGUAUAGGGUACUUUCCAGAUGCAGUCAGUGAUCUACGGAACGUGCUUUCUCCAAGCCUCCUGCCAACAGCGCCUGUGUGAUUGGGGAACCCUCCCUUCCUGGGACACUGAGCCAGGGCCCACCGGUUCCCCACUCCCGGGGCGUGGGUCUUCCUGUGGAGAGGUUCCCACCUCCCGGGAAGGCAGCCCUGAUGGUCUGGGCCUGUAGCCUCCUGCCCGCUCCAUCCCUCCUCUCUGCUGUAACCCUCAGGCCCACAGAAUGUCCGGGAAAGGAGCCCGCAUGUCCCUUGAUGGGAAAGAAAAGCGGGCUUUCCUUCUGUGGCCGCGUGAGUGGGUGGGUGCGUGGCGGUCGAAGGGCACACAGUCCGCUCUCAGCCAAGGUGUUCCCAGGUGCCGCCUGGGGGCAGGCGCUGCCGCGGGGCUGGGUGAGGGGGCCCCUGGCUGUGGACAGCAUAGACAGGAGCCUCCGCCGGCUAGGAGCUGACCUCGCAGCCAAGGAAAGAGACAAAAAAGAAGUGAAUGAACAGAGCCUAGGGCAGGCGUGUCUGCUGGUGGCCUGGGGAAGAGGUGGUGGCCAAUGGGGGGGUUGGGAAGGAGGUGGCCGUGAGUCCCCCUGGCCAAAGCUUGGCCUGAGGAGGAACGCCAACUCCUCCCCCUGUACUGUAGGAGGACCCGGUGGCUUUAGAGGUGCUGUGCGCUUACCCCCAGAUGACCCUGGAUGCCACUGUUUGAUUCUGAAGAGCCUUGCAGAGGACCCCCCCACACACAUACACCACCUCUUGGCACCCCCAUGCCCAGCUCCCUGCUCUCUGGGCUUGGGUCCUGGCACUGGCCUUCUGGCCAGGCUGCCUCUGAGUGGGCAAAGUAUGAGCUGGGGUAUGGGGUUCCUUCUGUCCCCUGGUGGGGCACGGAGAGUACAUAACAGAGGGGCCUGCUGUGUGUUCUGUCAAGGCAUCCUGGCUUAACCUGCCAAAGAGGCAAGUUUGUUCACCAAGACUCCACUCCUUCAUUUCUAUGUAAAUAGACACUUGGUUUCCUUGUCUGUCAAAAAGCAUUUCAGGUGGGAACUUGGAGUUUGCGCCUCUUUACUUUUUCUCUCUGCCAUCUAAGUUCGGGAGCUCAGGAUCCAAAAAGGAUGAAACAGGGCAUUCCGUCCAGACGGCAGACUUUGCUCUCUUAGCCACGGGCAGCAGGGAGGGGGUUUUGAGCAGGAGCACAGUGUAACAAGAGGAGAGGCUGAGCCCCUUGUGACGGUCCAGGCAGUAUCUGGAGGAUGGUAGCUGGGCAAGCAGGCCAGAAGCUACUGCACUGGUCCGAGCACAGAUGUGGGGGCAGCACGGACAGCCACCAUGGGAUGGAACAAGCUGGGCUUGGAGACAGGCUCCUGGGCCGGGAGCCCUAAGCACCUGCUCUGACUCUGCCGUGCUCUCUUUUCUCCUAAACAAAAAUAGCUAGGACUGUCACCCUUCCUUCUGCCACUUGAGGACAAUCCCACGUGCUCCCCUGCCUGCUCCCUGACACCUUGUCACUCUCUUCCUCCCCUUUCCUUCCACCUGCAGAUAUACUUGGGUCUCAUUUUUGUCACUAGCAGGUGCUUGUCCUUGUGGGCCAAUUUUAUCUUCCCCUGUGAGGCUCCAGGUCCCUCAGGGCAGGGACCUCUUGAAAGAACCCUUGGGUGUCCUCCCUUGCUCAGCAUCAGGCAGCCAGGCCAAGGCGACAGUGAUCUACUCUCAUCCUGCUGUAAUGGGAGUAAUUGUCUGUGGAGCGUUCUCCCAAGGGCUUCCGUCCCAUUGUCCCGAGGCUGCCCGUCCUCUCCGUAUCAGGAGCAGGGAAACAAGGAAACUGCUCAGAGGGGUCACUGGACUGGCCCCACGUCACACAGCUGUCCGUGGUGGAAGCUAGACGUGAACGCCGAGCCCUGGUCUCUGGGCCCCGGGUGGGUGUUUCCCAGCUGUGGGCUGGCGCUGUCACACGGGGUGACUUCCUUUCAGGGACCUGCAGAUGCGGCCCUAACUGACAGUGAAAUCACACAGAGAGAAAUUUGUGGUUUUUUUGACCCUUUCUUUAGCCCUACUGCAAGGAGAUGGCUCAGGGCUGGUUUCUCAUCCAACGUCAGAAUUUUUUUUUUAAUUGUGCUAAAAUGGAUGUAAUAUAAAAUUUGCCAUAAGCCCAUGGCAUUGCUUUUUAGUUUUCAGACCCUUUUGGAUUUCAGAAUUGAGGAUAAAGAAGGUAGUGCUUUAGUGUGAAAUCCCUGUAGAUAGGUUUAGUUAACGUCUGUGGCUGGUGACCGAUACUGGCUUUUUAAAAAAUCUUUAAAAGGUUGUUUUGUUUUGUUUUUUAAGAUUUUAUUUAUUUAUUUGACAGAGAGAGAUCACAGUAGGCAGAGAGGCAGGCAGAGAGAGAGAGAGAAGGAAGCAGGCUCCCUGCCGAGCAGAGAGCCCGAUGCGGGGCUCCAUCCCAGGACCCUGGGAUCAUGACCUGAGCCGAAGGCAGCAGCUUAACCCACUGAGCCACCCAGGCGCCCCUAAAAGGUUUUUAAAAAGCAAGUUGAUGAGGGAAUGCUUGGCUGGCUCAGUCAGUAGCGUAUGCAACUCUUGAUCUCUGGGUUGUGAGUUCAAGCCCCACAUUGGGCUUAGCCAUUACUUAAAAAUAAAAUAUUUUUUUUUUAAAAUAUGAGUUGAUGGGAAGGAACGUUUCAGGGAAAUGGUGGUCCCGGUGGGUGUUAGGGGAGCUGCCCUCCAGGGCUCCCUCCCGGGCCCUGGUGACCGUCAGCUCCCCUAUAUGUGAUGUGUGGAAAGCUGGAUUCCAGAACCGACCCGCCUACCCACGCAGGUGUCAGGGCCUGGACAGGAAAGGGCCCGGCAGCUGCCCGCCCCAGUCCCCACCGCCUUCCAGAAUCUGGAAUCUGGAGAAAGGGGCCUGAGUGCUGGGGUCCCCAGGAUCAUGGGACUUCCCGUCAAGGGCCUGGAAGUGCUGCAGGACGCUGAGGCCCAAGUGGCUAUGAGGGGCCUGCUGAGGCCUUGGCCUAGCUCGUGGGGUCAGGGAGCCGCUGCUAGGCUGUGGGAAGCUGGAGGCCCCCAGAGCAGAGCGCGGCACAGGUGAGCGGGAGUUGCUGCUGCGCGGAAGGAGGCAGGUGCUUCCCCCGAGGCUCCCGGCCAGGUCGAGCGUCCCCACCCCGCUGUAAAUAUGUGGGGCCCUUUUAGGUGCCCCGUGUCACAUGCUGUGUGGGGGUGCCCACAUCCCCGGGUCCCUGCCGAUCUCAGAAGGACCCACGAGAAGGGAUUGCCACCCUCCCCCCACCACCCCGAGAACCCAGAGCGCCCUCUCCAGAGAAGCUGUGUGUCCCUUGGAAGGUACCCGUGGUCCUGGAGGGGACUCGGGACCAUACCAGGAACCCCUGUGUGGAGCCUCACAGAAAUCACACCAGUUCCCUUGUCUGUUUUCGCCUGGGUGCCCUCCUUGGGAGCCCACAUGUGGUCUACCCAGGCCCAGAGUGGAGCCAGGCCCGGCCGGGGGUGGGGUGGGGGGCAGAGGCCUGGGGUGAGGCCUUGUCCCGCUGUCACCCUGGCGACAAGCUGCAGGCUCCUGGCUGUGCCCCAGCUCCUGGGGAGGCAGCCCUGGGCUCCCUCUCACACCAGCUCCUCCCCCCCACCCUCGGCCAGAACAUCUGUGUGCCGCUGGGGAAUGUGGCUCCCAGCCCUGGUCCACCCCAGAGAGGAUUUCUUUGGCCUCCGGCCUUUCUUCUAGGAGCAGGUCCUGAGGAGCAUCUGAGCUCUGAAUUCACAUCUGGCUCUGCGAUCUCUCCCGGGGCCCCCACCUCUUACCCUGACACCCCCCGAGCCUCUCCCCCCCCGCCCCGCUGUCCCUCCCAGUGCUCCAUUCAAGACGGCCACCCAGACAGAGCCUCUUGCAGGCCAGGCCUUGACCUGUGGGCCUUCUGGGCCUAGAGCGGGGCAAGGAGGAACAUCCCGUCUGCCCAGAUGGGGGUCCUGACCACAGCAGGGGCAUGCGUGUGUGCAGAGCCCGGGGAGUUGAGUGAAGGGCCACUGUGGCUGGGCAGGGGCAGGGCCAGGAGAGCGCAGGGGGAGGUGAGGGCAGCAAGCUGGCAGCG